This is a transfer RNA of Roseomonas mucosa, 73 nucleotides long. It matches the Rfam family "tRNA". From Rfam's summary of the family: Transfer RNA (tRNA) molecules are approximately 80 nucleotides in length. Their secondary structure includes four short double-helical elements and three loops (D, anti-codon, and T loops). The record is from Rfam. Lineage: Bacteria; Pseudomonadati; Pseudomonadota; Alphaproteobacteria; Acetobacterales; Roseomonadaceae.
GGGGGCGUAGCUCAGUUGGGAGAGCGCCUGCUUUGCAAGCAGGGGGUCGUCGGUUCGAACCCGAUCGCCUCCA